RNAcentral lists this ribosomal RNA (421 nucleotides) under uncultured bacterium. RNAcentral describes it as "bacterial SSU rRNA". It matches the Rfam family "Bacterial small subunit ribosomal RNA", at positions 355 to 774 of the family's 1533-position model. The record is from RNAcentral.
UAAGGAAUAUUGGUCAAUGGACGCAAGUCUGAACCAGCCAUGCCGCGUGAAGGAUGAAGGUCCUCUGGAUUGUAAACUUCUUUUAUCUGGGACGAAAACGGGAUUUUUAUCUCAAUUGACGGUACCAGAGGAAUAAGCACCGGCUAACUCCGUGCCAGCAGCCGCGGUAAUACGGAGGGUGCGAGCGUUAUCCGGAUUUACUGGGUUUAAAGGGUGCGUAGGUGGGCUUAUAAGUCAGUGGUGAAAUCUCCGAGCUUAACUUGGAAACUGCCGUUGAUACUAUAGGUCUUGAAUUAUCUGGAGGUAAGCGGAAUAUGUCAUGUAGCGGUGAAAUGCUUAGAUAUGACAUAGAACACCCAUUGCGAAGGCAGCUUACUACAUAUAAAUUGACGCUGAGGCACGAAAGCGUGGGGAUCAAACA